RNAcentral lists this transfer RNA (73 nucleotides) under Monodelphis domestica (gray short-tailed opossum). It matches the Rfam family "tRNA". From Rfam's summary of the family: Transfer RNA (tRNA) molecules are approximately 80 nucleotides in length. Their secondary structure includes four short double-helical elements and three loops (D, anti-codon, and T loops). Further hydrogen bonds mediate the characteristic L-shaped molecular structure. tRNAs have two regions of fundamental functional importance: the anti-codon, which is responsible for specific mRNA codon recognition, and the 3' end, to which the tRNAs corresponding amino acid is attached (by aminoacyl-tRNA synthetases). tRNAs cope with the degeneracy of the genetic code in two manners: having more than one tRNA (with a specific anti-codon) for a particular amino acid; and 'wobble' base-pairing, i.e. permitting non-standard base-pairing at the 3rd anti-codon position. The record is from Rfam by way of RNAcentral. Lineage: Eukaryota; Metazoa; Chordata; Mammalia; Didelphimorphia; Didelphidae.
GACUCUUUAGUGCAGUAGGCAACACAUCAGUCUCAAAAGCUGAAGGUCCCGAGUUCCACUCUUGGAAGGAUGG